RNAcentral lists this ribosomal RNA (516 nucleotides) under Triticum aestivum (bread wheat). RNAcentral describes it as "partial small subunit ribosomal RNA". Lineage: Eukaryota; Viridiplantae; Streptophyta; Magnoliopsida; Poales; Poaceae. The record is from RNAcentral.
AUGAGUCGACGAGUCGCUCAGGGGGGCGACUCUAGACUAGUCGUGACUAGUCUAGACUCAUGGUCGACGAGUCGACAUGCGAUGAGUCGACGUGAGUUAAGCAGUAGGGAGCAGACCAGCAGCAGCCAGCGGCAAGCCGGCAACCAAGGGAGGAGUCACAGCAACCAACCAAGACAAGGCCAUCAGGAGAUGGGAGGAGCAGCCCAGCAACAGCGGCAACCAAGGGAUGAGCAGCAGGCAGCAGCAACCAGGGGAGAAGGGGACGAGCAGCAAGCCAGGGCGGCGGCUGCUGCAGAAGAGGGCUGGGUCGGGGGAGGGGGGCUGGAACUGUUCGAUCUAGGUUUCCAGAAGCUCCAAUCUUCCUUCAAUACUGGCCCACAAGGCAAUAUUGGCCCAGUAAGGCCCAAUGAAACCCUAGCCUGCCCUCAAUCUGGACCAUCCAUAUUCUCUAAUCUUCACCGUCCAUCCAUUCUCGUCUUAUCUCUCUCUCUCACCUGCUCCCCUUCCAGCCCCUAG